Molecule: ribosomal RNA, 335 nt
Filed under: uncultured bacterium
Lineage: Bacteria
Description: bacterial SSU rRNA
Rfam family: Bacterial small subunit ribosomal RNA
Source: RNAcentral
CUACUCUUGACAUCCAGAGAACUUAGCAGAGAUGCUUUGGUGCCUUCGGGAACUUUGAGACAGGUGCUGCAUGGCUGUCGUCAGCUCGUGUUGUGAAAUGUUGGGUUAAGUCCCGCAACGAGCGCAACCCUUAUCCUUUGUUGCCAGCGGUUAGGCCGGGAACUCAAAGGAGACUGCCAGUGAUAAACUGGAGGAAGGUGGGGAUGACGUCAAGUCAUCAUGGCCCUUACGAGUAGGGCUACACACGUGCUACAAUGGCGCAUACAAAGAGAAGCGACCUCGCGAGAGCAAGCGGACCUCAUAAAGUGCGUCGUAGUCCGGAUUGGAGUCUGCAA